GAAUUCUUGCUGAAGGGUGAAAUUCCUUGAUAGUGAAGAAGCACCCCCGGGGCGAAGGGCGCCCCAGUGUUCCGUUAUAGACGCUGAGGGGGGAAAGCGUGGGGACCAACCAGGAUUGGUACCCUGGUAUUCCACGCCUUAAAAGAUGGAUGUUAGCCGUCAGCAAGCAUGUUGUUGGUGGCGCAGGUAACGCAAUAAGCAUUCCCCCUGGGGAGUACGGUCGCAAGAUUAAAACUCAAAGGAAUUGACGGGGCCCCGCACAAGCAGCGGAGCAUGUGGUUUAAUUCGAAGCAACGCGAAGAACCUUACCUAGACUUGACAUCUCCUGAAUUACUCUGUAAUGGAGGAAGCUCUUCGGGGCAGGAAGACAGGUGGUGCAUAGUUGUCGUCAGCUCGUGUCGUGAGAUGUUGGGUUAAGUCCCGCAACGAGCGCAACCCUUAUUGUUAGUUGCUACCAUUAAGUUGAGCACUCUAGCGAGACUGCCCGGGUUAACCGGGAGGAAGGUGGGGAUGACGUCAAAUCAUCAUGCCCCUUAUGUCUAGGGCUACACACGUGCUACAAUGGCUGGUACAGAGAGAUGCUAAACCGCGAGGUGGAGCCAAACUUUAAAACCAGUCUCAGUUCGGAUUGUAGGCUGAAACUCGCCUACAUGAAGCCGGAGUUGCUAGUAAUCGCGAAUCAGAAUGUCGCGGUGAAUACGUUCCCGGGCCUUGUACACACCGCCCGUCACACCAUGAGAGUUGGCAAUACCCAAAGUUCGUGAGCUAACGCGUAAGCGGGGCAGCGACCUAAGGUAGGGUCAGCGAUUGGGGUGAAGUCGUAACAAGGUAAAUCGAAUUCCCGCGGCC
Molecule: ribosomal RNA, 849 nt
Filed under: uncultured Pseudomonadota bacterium
Lineage: Bacteria; Pseudomonadati; Pseudomonadota
Description: bacterial SSU rRNA
Rfam family: Bacterial small subunit ribosomal RNA
Source: RNAcentral